Rhineura floridana is the source of this 608-nucleotide long non-coding RNA. RefSeq lists it as uncharacterized. The transcript is spliced from 3 exons. NCBI's taxonomy places the organism in Eukaryota, Metazoa, Chordata, Lepidosauria, Squamata, Rhineuridae. The record is from RefSeq and is a predicted model, not a curated record.
AGCAGGAACUGGGGAAGGGAGAGUGCAGAUCAUGAACUAUUUUUCAGGGCAGGAGCAAUAACAUCAUCUGCCAGACCGGCAGGGUGCCCCUGGAGCCACUGCCUCCCCUCACUGUGAAUGGGCAGGAGGAAUACGAAGUGGACCGGAUACUGGACUCGCGGAAACACAGGGGCUGGCUUCAAUAUUUAAUCCACUGGAAGGGGUAUGAUCCAUCGUUCCUGGGAAGUGGCAGAUGAUGUCCAUGCAGCAGACAUGAUUGCAAACUGAUGUGAAAAUGUGAAGAACUGAAUUGAAGAUUGGCAAAAAUCAGAAACAGAGAGAAACCGAAAUGGUCAGAUUCACCCAUCAUUGGUCAGGGGCAGUUGGAGAUGAAGGGCAAAUGCCAUGUUGUUAUAUGUUGAGGUAGAACAUGUAUCAAGAGAAAUCCAGAUUUAUUUGGGACAACCUGAGCUUAUUGAAAAAGAACAUGCACAAGAAACUCCAUUCUAAUAAACGAGGAAAGAAGCAGCCAUCUGAACUUAUAUCAUGUAUGGAAAUAUACAGCUUUAUUGGUUUAUGGAGUCAAUAUACAUGGACUCAUGUACACAGACCGCUGCAAAGCUGCAGGG